AAACAACUACCGGUGUAUCCACAACUCAAGGGCCAACAACCAUCCUGGUACCAUCAACGAAUGGACUAACUAACAGUACACCAACGACCACUCAUGGACCAACAACUGCAGUUACUUCAGUUCCAUCGCCAGUUGUGUCUAUUGAAGCAACUAUUGAGGAACCUUUUGUUCAACAAUUUAAUGAUCCCAACAGUGAACAAUACCAAACUCUUCAAACACAAGUGAUAUCAAUGUGUGACUUCAUUUUCUUUGAAACGUUUGGAGGUAUUUUCAUCAGAACCAUUGUUAUUGGAUUCAGGCCACAAAUGGGAAACACUCAAGUAGAGGUUGAGCUACAGUUCAACAAUUCCGUAUCGACUGAUCAAAUUCCAGAAGCUGAUGUGGUGGUAGACACAUUGGUACAGGCUGUAAAUAGUCCC
This is a non-coding RNA of Nerophis lumbriciformis (worm pipefish), 419 nucleotides long. The record is from RefSeq and is a predicted model, not a curated record. Lineage: Eukaryota; Metazoa; Chordata; Actinopteri; Syngnathiformes; Syngnathidae.